RNAcentral lists this ribosomal RNA (182 nucleotides) under uncultured bacterium. RNAcentral describes it as "partial 16S ribosomal RNA". It matches the Rfam family "Bacterial small subunit ribosomal RNA", at positions 1305 to 1500 of the family's 1533-position model. The record is from RNAcentral.
CUGAAACUCGCCUACAUGAAGCUGGAAUUGCUAGUAAUCACAGGUCAGCAUACUGUGGUGAAUACGUUCCCGGGCCUUGUACACACCGCCCGUCACACCAUGAGAGUUGAGAAUACCCGAAGCCCAUGUCAAAGUGGUCGAAGGUAGGCUUGAUGAUUGGGGUGAAGUCGUAACAAGGUAAC